RNAcentral lists this ribosomal RNA (460 nucleotides) under uncultured bacterium. RNAcentral's name for it is "partial 16S ribosomal RNA". It matches the Rfam family "Bacterial small subunit ribosomal RNA", at positions 338 to 795 of the family's 1533-position model. The record is from RNAcentral.
CCUACGGGUGGCAGCAGUGAGGAAUAUUGGUCAAUGGACGAGAGUCUGAACCAGCCAAGUCGCGUGAAGGAUGACUGCCCUAUGGGUUGUAAACUUCUUUUAUAUGGGAAUAAAAUGUUCCACGUGUGGGCUUUUGUAUGUACCAUAUGAAUAAGGAUCGGCUAACUCCGUGCCAGCAGCCGCGGUAAUACAGAGGAUCCGAGCGUUAUCCGGAUUUAUUGGGGUUAAAGGGAGCGUAGGUGGAUUGUUAAGUCAGUUGUGAAAGUUUGGGGCUCAACCGUAAAAUUGCAGUUGAAACUGGCAGGCUUGAGUACAGUAGAGGGGGGCGGAAUUCGGGGUGUAGCGGUGAAAUGCUUAGAUAUCGCGAAGAACUCCGAGUGCGAAGGCAGCUCACUGGACUGCAACUGACACUGAGGCUCGAAAGUGUGGGUAUCAAACAGGAUUAGAUACCCCAGUAGUC